AACGAACGCUGGCGGCAUGCCUAACACAUGCAAGUCGAACGAAGCCUUCGGGCUUAGUGGCGCACGGGUGCGUAACGCGUGGGAAUCUGCCCUUGGGUUCGGAAUAACAGUUAGAAAUGACUGCUAAUACCGAAUGAUGUCUUCGGACCAAAGAUUUAUCGCCCAAGGAUGAGCCCGCGUCGGAUUAGCUAGUUGGUGAGGUAAAGGCUCACCAAGGCGACGAUCCGUAGCUGGUCUGAGAGGAUGAUCAGCCACACUGGGACUGAGACACGGCCCAGACUCCUACGGGAGGCAGCAGUGGGGAAUAUUGGACAAUGGGCGAAAGCCUGAUCCAGCAAUGCCGCGUGAGUGAUGAAGGCCUUAGGGUUGUAAAGCUCUUUACCGGAUGAUAUGACAGUACCGGGAGAA
This 408-nucleotide ribosomal RNA is filed under the name uncultured bacterium. Its description in RNAcentral is "bacterial SSU rRNA". It matches the Rfam family "Bacterial small subunit ribosomal RNA", at positions 29 to 488 of the family's 1533-position model. The record is from RNAcentral.